AACAUCGCGCACCUGCGGGAACCUGCGGAGGGAUCAUUACAGAGAUUGAUGCACCAAGUGCAUCACCUCCAACCCCUUGCGAAAACAACUAUCAUGUGUUGCUUUGGCAGUGUUCCCACUGCCAGAGGUUUACAUAAAAUCAGCUGUUUGGAUGUUGUCUGAGUAAACUAUAUGAAUUAUUUAAAACUUUCAACAACGGAUCU
This 203-nucleotide unclassified non-coding RNA is filed under the name soil metagenome. RNAcentral describes it as "partial contains 5.8S ribosomal RNA, internal transcribed spacer 2, and large subunit ribosomal RNA". The record is from RNAcentral.